UUGUCAGUUUGAUUAGGUCCCAUUGGUUUAUUUUUGCUUUUAUUUCUGUUGCCUUGGGAGAUUGACCUGUGAAAACAUAUGUAAGGUUGAUGUCAGAGAGUGUUUUGCCUAUGUUCUCUUCUACAAGUUUGAUGGUGUCUUGUCUUAUAUUUAAGUCUUUCAGCCAUUUUGAGUUUAUUUUUGUGCAUGGUGUGAGGGUGUGUUCUAGUUUCAUUGAUUUACAUGUAACUGCCCAGGUUUCCCAGCAAUACUUGCUGAAAAGACUUUUUCCCAUUUUAUGGUCUUGCCUCCUUUGUCAAAGAUUAAUUGACCAUAGGUAUCUGGGUUAAUUUCUGGGUUCUCUAUUCUGUUCCAUUGGUCUGUUUGUCUGUUUUGGUACCAUAUGCAACCAAGAACUUGCCUAGAAUGCCAUAUUUGAAAAUGAUGCUCAUUUUAUCAUGUAUGACAAUCUACUUUUAAGGAACUAAGGUUGACUUCAAUUAUGGAGUCAAACCCUACAAAGUUCUCUAGGAAACUGGCCUGAUACCUGGCUUACUGGUCUCUCAUUAAUUAAUAAGUUAAAUACAGUAUUCAAUACUUGUUCAUUUCACAAUUGUAUAGGAGUCAUAAUUCCAUCUUUUAAAAAUUUAUUCUUUAAUAGAUUUCAAUCCUUUACUUGCUUAAAGUAGUAAAUUCUGUGAUUUAUUGACAUUUCCUAAACAGAAAUAAUUAUCCUGCGUUACUUUCAUGAACUUCAGACAGGGAUUUAUAUCUGUCUUACUCCCAACUGUAUCAUUAAUAACCAGAAAAUGCCUGGGUAUUAAUGAUAAGCACUGAAAUUGUUAAUUGUUCAGUCAGUUAAGCACUGAAAUUGUUCUAUUGAAUGAAUAUAUAUGUAACCAACUGUAUACUAGACUGUAUGCCAUAGUAGACAAUACGUUUUCAGGAAACUCAUAUCCCAUUCUCCCUGGGCACAUACAUAGACUAUUAUUUUCCAGGCUCUCAUGAAAUUAAAAUGGGGGCAAUGAGUUCAAGUUCUGGCCAAAAGAAUAUGUAUACAACUGGGAGUUCCCAUUGUGGCUCAGUGGUUAACGAAUCUGACUAGGAACCAUUAGGUUGCAGGUUUGAUCCCUGGCCUAGCUCAGUGAGUUAAGGAUCCAGCAUUACCAUGAGCUGUGGUGUAAGUUGCAGACAUGGCUCUGAUCCAGCAUUGCUGUGGCUCAGGCGUAGGCCAGCAGCUACAGCUCCGAUUGGACUCCUAGUCUGGGAACCUCCAUAUGCCAUGUGUUUAGCCCUAGAAAAGACAAAAAAACAAAAAACAAAAAAAAAGAAUAUGUUUAAGACUGAUGGACACCAUUUCCUAUAACCCCCAAUUCUCCCCAAUAUCACUCCCCCAAUUUCCUCACUUCAGUCACCAAGAAACACAACAUGGAUGGAUCCUGAGGGUAUUAUGCUAAGUGAAAUAAGUCAGAGGGAGAAAGACAAAUACUGUACGAUUUCAUUUGUAUGUGGAAUUUUUUCAACGUGAACAAACCAAACACAUAGAUAUAAAGAACAGAAUAAUGGCUACCACAGGGGAUGAGAAUUAGGAGGAGAGUGAAAAAUAAAAGGAGUCAACUGUAUGUAUGGUAAUGGAUGAAAAGUAAACUUUUAGUCAUGAGCAUAAUGUAGUAUAUACAGAAGUCAAAAUAUAAUGUGCUAUACAUGAAACAUACAUAAUGUCAUAAGCCAAUGUUACCUCAAUAAAAGAGAGAUAAUUUAAAACACUGUCUUCUCUCUGAUCCUGUGAAACACUAGCAUAUGACUAUUAUACUAGUAUACAUUAAAUACUCUUAUUCCCAUUUGAAUCUGAACUUCAUCAAGUAAGAAAAUGUUGUAUUAUAUUUCUAUAGCCCUCAGAAUAUCCCUCACACAUAAUUAGAAGCUCAAUAGAUGCAUGCUGCUGUGAUUCUAGAAUGAAGUUAUCCCACAAUAUGCAGAUUCCUGGAGUCUACAUCAGAUCUACCUGUCAGUAUCUAUAUAUGGUAGAUACUGGGAUUGUAUAAUUUAACUCCCCAUAUAAUUUUGGUGAGCCAUUCAGUUUGAGAACCACAGGCUUAGAACCAACUAGAGUUGAGGUGAGUUUAAGGAGUGGUUCUUAAAUAAUCAGAGGAGAAAUAUAGCCAUGAUUUUAUAAUAAUUAUAAAUGGAGUAUAACCUUUUAAAAUUAUGAAUCACUGUAUUGUACACUUGUAGCAUAUAAUAUUGCAUAUCAAUUAUACUGAAAUUUUUUUAAUGAAAAAAAUAGGAGAGGUAAAAAGUCUCUCUAGAAAAAUACACAUGUGCACAUAUACCCAAUUUCUUUGCAUAUUAUUUUAGGAAGUUCCCAAAACCCCUGAAGCUUGUCCAUGGACUCAGCUUAAAUACCUCUGCAAAGAUGGCAGAGUAAGAAAGCACUGAGCUCAUCUCUCAUGGGCACAAAAAAAUUACAAAUAUUUACAGAGUAAUUAUCAAUAAGAAUGACCCAAAGACUAGCAUAAGAUUUUCCACAACUAAAGAUAUUAUGAAGGAACCAAAACAAGACAUGUAUGAGAGGCAGAGACAGGUAUAGUCAAGACCUACACUCCCAGGCAUUUGACCCAAAAAUGGGAAGAUAAUCACAAUUGCAGAGGUUCUUCUCAAGGAGUUAGGGGUCUAAAGCCCACAUUGGAUAACCCAACAUGAGGAUCCUGUACUGGGAAGGUGAGCCUCCAGAACAUCAGACUUCAAAGUCUUCAAUGGGGCUUGUGUAAGGGAGAGCUUGGGGGGACCAUAGAAAACACAGAUUCCACUCUUAAAGGGCACGUGCAAAAAUCUCACACACACCAAGACCCAGCACAGAACUAGUAAUUCAAGGAACCUGGAUCAGACCCACUUACUGAUCUUGGAGAAGGCUCUUUGAAAGCAGGAGGCCACUAGGACUCCCCAUAGGGACAUAGACUCUAGAGGAAGCCAUAUUGAGAAGCUUGUUCUCAAUGAGGACACUGAUGCUAGCAAGCACCAUUUUGGAAUCCUCCCUCUAAACUAUUAUCACCUGGACUGGACCCCACCCACAAUUGGUGGGCAUAGUACCAGGAUCCCCCAGGCCAAAUGGCCAGUCAUGCAAGGCCCAAGUUCUGCCCACCAGUGGGCAAGGACCAGCCCCGGGCCCCACAGCCAUCUGUUCUAGGAUUAGGUACCACCCAGCAGCAGAUCAGGACCUGCCCCAGGACCAGUGAGACACAGAGCCAGCUGAUGCAGAACAUGGUCCCACCCAAUGAGAGGCCAAUACCAGCCCUGCCAAGACUCCACAGCCAGCUGUCCCA
Molecule: long non-coding RNA, 3302 nt
Filed under: Sus scrofa (pig)
Lineage: Eukaryota; Metazoa; Chordata; Mammalia; Artiodactyla; Suidae
Description: lncRNA (ENSSSCG00065006248.1)
Source: RNAcentral